Molecule: transfer RNA, 25 nt
Filed under: Bletia catenulata
Lineage: Eukaryota; Viridiplantae; Streptophyta; Magnoliopsida; Asparagales; Orchidaceae
Description: partial tRNA-Thr
Source: RNAcentral
UCGGUUUCAAUUCCGAUAAAGGGCU